This 460-nucleotide ribosomal RNA is filed under the name uncultured bacterium. RNAcentral describes it as "partial 16S ribosomal RNA". It matches the Rfam family "Bacterial small subunit ribosomal RNA", at positions 338 to 795 of the family's 1533-position model. The record is from RNAcentral.
CCUACGGGUGGCAGCAGUGAGGAAUAUUGGUCAAUGGGCGCGAGCCUGAACCAGCCAAGUAGCGUGAAGGAUGACUGCCCUACGGGUUGUAAACUUCUUUUAUAUAGGAAUAAAGUGAGGCACGUGUGCCUUUUUGUAUGUACUUUAUGAAUAAGGAUCGGCUAACUCCGUGCCAGCAGCCGCGGUAAUACGGAGGAUCCGAGCGUUAUCCGGAUUUAUUGGGUUUAAAGGGAGCGUAGAUGGGUUGUUAAGUCAGUUGUGAAAGUUUGCGGCUCAACCGUAAAAUUGCAGUUGAAACUGGCAGCCUUGAGUACAGUAGAGGUAGGCGGAAUUCGUGGUGUAGCGGUGAAAUGCUUAGAUAUCACGAAGAACUCCGAUUGCGAAGGCAGCUUACUAGACUGCCACUGACAUUGAGGCUCGAAAGUGUGGGUAUCAAACAGGAUUAGAUACCCUAGUAGUC